RNAcentral lists this ribosomal RNA (746 nucleotides) under uncultured Parvimonas sp. RNAcentral describes it as "bacterial SSU rRNA". It matches the Rfam family "Bacterial small subunit ribosomal RNA", at positions 28 to 776 of the family's 1533-position model. Lineage: Bacteria; Bacillati; Bacillota; Tissierellia; Tissierellales; Peptoniphilaceae. The record is from RNAcentral.
GACGAACGCUGGCGGCGUGCUUAACACAUGCAAGUCGAACGUGAUUUUUGUGGAAAGCCCUUCGGGGACGGAAAUGAAAUGAAAGUGGCGAACGGGUGAGUAACACGUGAGCAACCUACCUUACACAGGGGGAUAGCCGUUGGAAACGACGAUUAAUACCGCAUGAGACCACAAAGCCACAUGGCUUAGGGGUAAAAGAUUUAUCGGUGUAAGAUGGGCUCGCGUCUGAUUAGCUAGUUGGAAGGGUAAAGGCCUACCAAGGCAACGAUCAGUAGCCGGUCCGAGAGGAUGAACGGCCACAUUGGAACUGAGACACGGUCCAAACUCCUACGGGAGGCAGCAGUGGGGAAUAUUGCACAAUGGGGGGAACCCUGAUGCAGCGACGCCGCGUGAGCGAAGAAGGUUUUCGAAUCGUAAAGCUCUGUCCUAUGAGAAGAUAAUGACGGUAUCAUAGGAGGAAGCCCCGGCUAAAUACGUGCCAGCAGCCGCGGUAAUACGUAUGGGGCGAGCGUUGUCCGGAAUUAUUGGGCGUAAAGGGUACGUAGGCGGUUUUUUAAGUCAGGUGUGAAAGCGUGAGGCUUAACCUCAUUAAGCACUUGAAACUGGAAGACUUGAGUGAAGGAGAGGAAAGUGGAAUUCCUAGUGUAGCGGUGAAAUGCGUAGAUAUUAGGAGGAAUACCGGUGGCGAAGGCGACUUUCUGGACUUUUACUGACGCUCAGGUACGAAAGCGUGGGGAGCAAACAGG